This 29-nucleotide non-coding RNA is filed under the name Mus musculus (house mouse). Lineage: Eukaryota; Metazoa; Chordata; Mammalia; Rodentia; Muridae. The record is from RNAcentral.
UGCCCUUGGGAAAGAAUAUGAAGGUGGCC